GACGAACGCUGGCGGCGUGCUUAACACAUGCAAGUCGAACGGAAAGGCCCUGCUUUUGUGGGGUGCUCGAGUGGCAAACGGGGGGGUAACCCGUGGGUAACCUGCCCUUGCCUUUGGGAUACCUUCAGGAAACUGGGGCUAAUACCGGAUAGGAGCUCCUGCGGCAGGGGGGGGGUUGGAAAGUUUCGGCGGUUGGGGAUGGACUCGCGGCUUAUCAGCUUGUUGGUGGGGUAGUGGCUUACCAAGGCUUUGACGGGUAGCCGGCCUGAGAGGGUGACCGGCCACAUUGGGACUGAGAUACGGCCCAGACUCCUACGGGAGGCAGCAGUGGGGAAUAUUGCACAAUGGGCGGAAGCCUGAUGCAGCAACGCCGCGUGCGGGAUGACGGCCUUCGGGUUGUAAACCGCUUUCGCCUGUGACGAAGCGUGAGUGACGGUAAUGGGUAAAGAAGCACCGGCUAACUACGUG
RNAcentral lists this ribosomal RNA (468 nucleotides) under uncultured bacterium. Its description in RNAcentral is "partial 16S ribosomal RNA". It matches the Rfam family "Bacterial small subunit ribosomal RNA", at positions 28 to 507 of the family's 1533-position model. The record is from RNAcentral.